GAGAACGACUCGCGCGUAAUACGGACAGCCUUCGCUUCCUCGUGGAGAUCGAAAUAGCCCAUGUAGAUGUACAGUCAAAUGGUUAGUUUGAUACUCCAGCGCAAUAUCUUCCCGCUGUGUGGUACGGGCACUGAGAGGUGUAUUAUGUACCGGGUGUACCGAAGUAUUCAGGUAUACCUAACCUCUGUCAGCCCCGACUAGAAUGUCAGGCAUCCAAAGACAAGUUAUCCUCUACGCGGUAUAGAAUUACGAUUAGAGAUCGCACGAGGAUCUUCAAUUGCUGCAUUUAUAUAGCUACGUCGGGACGAAGUGGAGAAGCUGAGAAUCUGUUGCACAUGAAAUAUGCGUGGAAUGAAAACUGUCAGACCUCGACGGGAGGCUGGUUGGGGGCGACAGCUCGCUAAAUGUACAACCACCCCAUGUUACGUCUACGUGGCAUCUACACGGCGAAAGGCAUACAGCGAUAUCGUUGUCCAUGCGUCAGAAGAGCCCUGGCCGAAAAAAUGUUGCAGAUGCAUGGUAUUGACAUUUCACCAACCGGGAGCCCGACAGCAGCAGCAGCAGCAGCAGCAGCAGGAGCAACACCAGGAGCAGGGGUACCAGCAGUCCAUUAACUCCCGGAGCUGUCGCCACGACAAACCUCCAAGACCUCUUUGAGCGAACUGUCACGAUACUGGCGCGAAAUCAUCCCCUGGUUUGAAUUCGAUCGAGUUUCAGAUUCUUCUUUAAAAAAAUUCUUACACGCUACUUCCCUUGGGUACUUGGCAUAGAUACACUCGUUCCCUUGAGAGGAAUGCAAUUUUAUUUUAUAAAAUUAUAAAUUAUAUAUAUAUGAUAUGAAAUUUGACGUUAGUCGAGAGAAGGAAACGACAGACGAAAAAGAUGGCAAAAAAAUGAAUGAGGUAAAAAAAAAACGAAUAACAGUGAGUGACGGUAGAGGGAUGAAUGAGAUAAGGGAUGAUUGGUUGGGGGGGGGUGGGGAUUGAUAAAAACUGAAAGAGGUUGGGAAAAAUAACACGGUGAUUUUUCAAGUAAUCGUGGCUCGAGAUUUGGUGACGCAAGGAAUAUUAGCAUAGCGUCAAACUUAUAAUUGACAGGGGCUGAUCGAUAUUUUAAUUUAUCUAAGGGAGGAGGGGGGGGACGAGAUCGCCGACGCCGUCGGCGCACUUAACGAGUAAGGACAGCUCCCGUAGUGUCGGGACGUAGAAAAUUGAAAAAGUGACGCGAACUAUUCAGAUGUCAUAUACCCCAGGGACGAGAGAGUCGAGAAAGAUGAUAGGAGAAAAUAAAAAAUAGAAAAAAAAGCUUCGCUUUGGAGCCGCCAAUUACUUGGGCAAUUAUAGCCCACGAGUUACGUCACUACGGGAGGAUCCAAUUAACGUUGAUUAUAUUAUUGUAAAUAAACGCCUACAGUAUACCACACGCCAUAAUCUAUUCUAUAUAAUAAAAUGAUACGUUAAUCUUUUCUACCAUCUACUAUGAAUCUGUUACAGUGUACUGUACCGAGUGCCAGUACAUACAGUGCCAGCCAUACCUACAGAUAUAUUUACAUGCUAUCUUACACGUGUACCAAACCUAUUGACGUUAUUAUGGGUAUAAACACGUAACACCAUGUGCAAACGUACGUCUCUUAAAUAUUGAAGGAGUAUAUUUUCCGUGCCACUCCCGGUAGCUAUAAACAGACUCGUCAAAACAGCAUAUGGACAUUCUCCCCUGGCUCCGUGUUAAUUCGCCUUCGACUAGAAUCUUAGCGCAUUGGACGUCACAGGCAUUAAUUCAGCAUGCGUUCUCACUCGAGUCAAUUCCCAGCGUGGACAGACGUAAGACGCUAACAGGACGGUCAACGAGUGAAAAUACAUAAGCGAAGUUGAGUAAUUGCUGAAAUCAAUUCUAUUGGACGUGGUUCAAAAUACUCGAGCUCCGCCAAUCGGAAGGUACGUCGGUGUUUGGAUUAAUUGUCAAUCGAAGUGACGUUCCAGUCGUUACACGGAUACACGAGAAGUCACUUCGCUGUAUCUAAAAAUAAUCUUACAGAUUUUCAUUAAUGAAGAUUGAGAUAAAACAAAAUUUUAUAUUCAUCCUAAGUGACCCGACGACCUGGGGGGUCAGCUUUAACCAGUUGACAAUCGGAGAUGCCGCUACGUCACCGUCCACGUCAAUUACCCUCAGCCCACAGACGGGACUCGAAUUAACGUCCUGUCCUACUAGCGUUCGACCAUUAAUUUGCAUCUCCAUCAUCGCACCAGCGCUAAAUAACUUGGCGGCAAUUACUUAGCUGACAGAUGUCGAGUCGCUACUGUUCUAAUGACAGCGAGAUAUUAUGCAAAAGUUGUUCCCGUGGACGCGACUGUUUGACGGUACCUUGUUUAUAGGAGAUGCAUACGGAGUUAAGUAAGUUUAUACACGUGUUAUUAUUAGCUUAAUUAGAAUAUUCAUGAGAGAUUAUAAAUAGCGAUAAAAAUUCAACGGCUUCGCGCGGACUCGCUACAGGCGUCAUAUUUAUUCUCUUUUUUCCAUUUUCUUUUUUUUUCCCCUUCUUUUGCUGGAAAUUAUGCAAUUUUUCAGUGAAUCAAAACAGCGCGAUUUGACAGGAGGACGUUGGUAUUUAUCGAGAUAAGAGAUCUCUGUGUAAGAUGAACAAGGAUGCUGGUUCAGGUGACUGAGAGAGAGUAUUAACGAUGCAAGGAUGAGAAGACGCAAGAGGGGGUGAAGUAGUAGGAGGUUGGAACCCGGUAUAGAAAUUAUACAAGAUGCCCCCCCCCCCC
Molecule: long non-coding RNA, 2765 nt
Organism: Cephus cinctus (wheat stem sawfly)
Lineage: Eukaryota; Metazoa; Arthropoda; Insecta; Hymenoptera; Cephidae
Exons: 3
Source: RefSeq, a predicted model, not a curated record